RNAcentral lists this ribosomal RNA (253 nucleotides) under uncultured bacterium. RNAcentral's name for it is "partial 16S ribosomal RNA". It matches the Rfam family "Bacterial small subunit ribosomal RNA", at positions 524 to 776 of the family's 1533-position model. The record is from RNAcentral.
UACAGAGGUCUCAAGCGUUGUUCGGAUUCAUUGGGCGUAAAGGGUGCGUAGGCGGCGCGGUAAGUCGGGUGUGAAAUCUCGGAGCUUAACUCCGAAACUGCAUUCGAUACUGCCGUGCUUGAGGACUGGAGAGGAGACUGGAAUUUACGGUGUAGCGGUGAAAUGCGUAGAUAUCGUAAGGAAGACCAGUGGCGAAGGCGGGUCUCUGGACAGUUCCUGACGCUGAUGCGCGAAAGCGUGGGGAGCAAACGGG